GGGCUCGUAGAUCAGCGGAACAACCCUUUCUGGCUGCGCCGAAAGCGUUGACGGAAAGGUGCGCUAAAGAUCGCCCGCUUUGCAAGCGGGAGGCCAGGGGUUCAAAUCCCCUCGAGUCCA
This 120-nucleotide transfer RNA is filed under the name Microcaldota archaeon. RNAcentral's name for it is "tRNA-Ala". It matches the Rfam family "tRNA". Rfam says of the family: Transfer RNA (tRNA) molecules are approximately 80 nucleotides in length. Their secondary structure includes four short double-helical elements and three loops (D, anti-codon, and T loops). The record is from RNAcentral. Lineage: Archaea; Nanobdellati; Microcaldota.